Molecule: small RNA, 79 nt
Organism: Flavobacterium sp.
Lineage: Bacteria; Pseudomonadati; Bacteroidota; Flavobacteriia; Flavobacteriales; Flavobacteriaceae
Rfam family: Flavo-1 RNA
Source: Rfam
UGUUAGCCCUGAUAAAAGCGGCAUCCUUUUGUGUCUGCCGCGGCAGAUGCAAAAGAUAUAGCGGAUAGCAGGAAAGAGC